CAGCCGCCACGGUAAUACAGAGGGUGCGAGCGUUAAUCGGAUUUACUGGGCGUAAAGCGUGCGUAGGCGGCUUUUUAAGUCGGAUGUGAAAUCCCUGAGCUUAACUUAGGAAUUGCAUUCGAUACUGGGAAGCUAGAGUAUGGGAGAGGAUGGUAGAAUUCCAGGUGUAGCGGUGAAAUGCGUAGAGAUCUGGAGGAAUACCGAUGGCGAAGGCAGCCAUCUGGCCUAAUACUGACGCUGAGGUACGAAAGCAUGGGGAGCAAACAGGAUUAGAUACCCCAGUAGUCCUUGUCUCUUAUAC
This 301-nucleotide ribosomal RNA is filed under the name uncultured bacterium. Its description in RNAcentral is "partial 16S ribosomal RNA". It matches the Rfam family "Bacterial small subunit ribosomal RNA", at positions 509 to 807 of the family's 1533-position model. The record is from RNAcentral.